UAUGAAGAACGUAGCGAAAUGCGAUAAGUAAUGUGAAUUGCAGAAUUCAGUGAAUCAUCGAAUCUUUGAACGCAUCUUGCGCUCCUUGGUAUUCUGAGGAGCAUGCCUGUUUGAGUGUCAUUAAAUUCUCAACUACACUGACUUUGAAUUGGUGUGGCUUGGAUUUGGGGGGAAAAUUGUUGUGGGCUUUUUGUAUAGUCUGCUCCCCUGAAAUUGAUUAGCGGUACCUUUGUGGAACUGUCUACAGGUGUGAUAAUUAUCUACAUCUUAGACAUCUGCUGGAAUGCUGCUUUCUAAACCUUACUUGUAUUGACAAUCUUGACCUCAAAUCAGGUAGGACUACCCGCUGAACUUAAGCAUAUCAAUAGCGGAGGA
Molecule: unclassified non-coding RNA, 375 nt
Filed under: soil metagenome
Description: partial contains 5.8S ribosomal RNA, internal transcribed spacer 2, and large subunit ribosomal RNA
Rfam family: 5.8S ribosomal RNA (bases 2-120)
Source: RNAcentral